Molecule: long non-coding RNA, 528 nt
Organism: Cheilinus undulatus (humphead wrasse)
Lineage: Eukaryota; Metazoa; Chordata; Actinopteri; Labriformes; Labridae
Exons: 3
Source: RefSeq, a predicted model, not a curated record
CGACUGAAAGGGUUAGCUUGCUAGCUUGUUUUUCGCGAUGCUAGCAGCAUUGGAGUAAAGUCAAGAGUGCGCAGAGAGAAAUUAGGACUUAUUUUUUUUCCAUGAAAGUCAACAGAAUAUACCUGGACAUCAAAUUGGUUCGAUACAGGAAGAAGAGCAAGAUGGACCUGCUGAGAAUCUCAUCAGGAACUUGUUACAUCACCACAACCAUGCAGAGAGGAAGUGAUCAGAGAAGAAAAAGCAGGGUUCAUCAGAAACUGGUAUUGGUACUGGCAGACUAAUUUCCACCAUGAUGAUUCAAUAUCUUCAGUCCACCUGUAACACAUGGCUCAGGUGAGCGUGCAUGAGGAGGGAGCAUCAGCAGUGAUUCAAACAGAUUACACAGGAUCAGCUUAAUUUCUUAACUAGCUGCGACACUAGCAAUUUUAAAGUGUCAGGAGCAAUAGAAGGGCACUUCCCACUUCAACUGCACCACCUUAUGCUGCCCUGCAUCUAUGCAGUCUGUUAAUCUUGGGAGACAUUUUUCAC